AUGUCACCUCACUCUAUACUAACAUUCUUUCUAGAUGAGGCUCGUACCAUCAUAGAGAAUAUCCUUCGUAGGAGAACAAAAUUGCAACCACCUACACAUUUCUUGAUGGACCUGUUAGAUAUAGUACUGGAGAAAAAUUAUUUCCAUUUUCAAAACCAAUUUUACUUUCAGACCUUCGGUGUCGCUAUGGGAAGUCUGUUAGCCCCAUCGAUUGCCAAUCUAUUCAUGGCACAUUUAGAAAACACUAUAUUGCUUAAUCCAUCUUUAAAUAUGUACUAUGCUAAUAUAAUAUACUAUGGCCGAUUCAUUGAUGAUAUAUUCAUAGUAUUUAAAACAACUGAAGCCGCAGUAGGAUUCUCUAAUUGGAUUAACACUAUACAUACGUCUAUUAAAUUUACCAGUCAUCUCAACCUGUCACAUAUCAAUUUUUUAGAUGUUACUGUGUAUAAACAUCAUAACAAACUGUUGGUCAAGAACUUCAGAAAACCAUCAGAUAAGAAUUCUUUUCUUCAUUAUAACAGCUUCCACCACUUUGGUUUAAAGACCAAUCUUCCAUUUUCACAACUACUUAGACUAAAGCGUAACUCAAGCUCUAAUGAACACUUCAUUCAUGAAAGCCUGACCUUAAGCCAGGAGUUUAGAAGUAGAGGCUAUCCUAAACAUGUCAUCAAAAAGGCAUUAAUUAAAGCUGAAAAAACUGAUAGAACCACCCUACUGAAAGAAUCUGCUAAACCAACUAAAAAUCAAAUUAUCUGGACACAAGAAUUAUCACAUUACUCCAAACACAUAAUCCAAAUUAUAAAAAAACACUGGCAUCUUCUUCAAGAUAUUUCAGGUUGCGAUAAAUUACCUAUUUUUGGAAACAGGCGUACUAAAAAUAUUAGAGAAUAUUUAAUCCAUACAGAUUUAACCACUCCUAUUAGUACACCAAAGAGCACCCUGAGAGGCCAUUAUCCUUGUGGUCACUGUAAGUGUUGUCCUCAAUCUUGGAAGACUAAGGAGAUAUAUAAUCAUAGGAACAAAGUGGGCACCACACUAAAACAUUUUUCUACUUGUAAUAGCAACAAUGUAAUCUACCUCUUGACAUGUGACUGUGAUCUCUGGUAUAUUGGAAAAACAACCAGAUCCUUGAGAAUCAGAAUCUCUGAACAUAAAUCCAGAAUCAAAAAUUUAUCUACAGAAUCUCUUUUAUAUUCACACUUCACCCAAUACAAACAUUCACCUACCUCAUUUAAAUUUUGUGUUCUGGAAUGCAUCUCUCAAAAACCUUUCAUGGACUUGGAAAAACUAUUAUCCCAAAGGGAAAUGUACUGGAUCUUUAAGUUUAAAACCUUUUCCCCUCAGGGACUUAAUGAAUCACUUAAUUUUAGCUGUUUCCUUUAA
This 1383-nucleotide long non-coding RNA is filed under the name Anolis carolinensis (green anole). RNAcentral's name for it is "lncRNA (ENSACAG00000044537.1)". Lineage: Eukaryota; Metazoa; Chordata; Lepidosauria; Squamata; Anolidae. The record is from RNAcentral.